Rosa rugosa (rugosa rose) is the source of this 987-nucleotide long non-coding RNA. RefSeq lists it as uncharacterized. The record is from RefSeq and is a predicted model, not a curated record. The transcript is spliced from 5 exons. Lineage: Eukaryota; Viridiplantae; Streptophyta; Magnoliopsida; Rosales; Rosaceae.
CAUCGAAAUGACGGUUUUGCCCUCAUUCUAAAUUGUUUUACGGCUCUGCCAUCGUUCUGCCAAACGCUACCGUCGGUUUCUUCUUUCUUCUACAGCCGUAUAACCGUAUAACCACGAUUGCUCUCUCAAUUUGGAUCUCCGCCGUGAAUCCGACUCUCAGCUCUCCCAUAUCAAUAUCGUCGACGAACAGAAAGUGAUAGAGAUAGAUUGAGAGAGAGAGAGAGACGGAGGUUUUCUGUGUCUUUUGGGUCUUCUCACUCUUCUGCGAGAGAGAGAGAGAGGAAGUGAAGGCUAAUUCCAGGGAAAGGAAGAACAGGAAACAGGAAGUGGAAGAAGAAUUUGAUACACCAAGUUCAUGCUGGGAAUAUGUGAGAAUUGAAUUUCAGAAUUUGCUUUUUUUUUUUUCUCUGUUUGAUGAAAGCUCUAUGGGUUUUGAAGAAGAAAGAAGAACAAGAAUAUAGGAGCUUGAAAUUCUUCACUGAUUGGUAAGCUUUGGCAUCAUCUGUAUUUGAAGUUUGAUCUUGUGUAGCUCAUAAUUGUUGAAUCGAAUCGUAUAUCCCAGUUUCAACUGUACCAAUGAUAGCACAGUGAAACAAAUGUUCAAUUGAUAGGUCAUGCAUCGAUCUUGGGGCAAUCGAUGUGGAAAAUAUUCUGUGUUUCUUCCUACUACUAAAAUAUGCUUUUGGAUACAUGUUCAGGUGCAUCAAUACGUGAUGGAAGAGAAAUCCUUUUAAAGGAAGCUUGCUGAUCAGUAUACUGUCAUUGCAGAUUUGUAGGAGACUAUUUUGAGCUACAAAUUAAGUGCAAUCACAACAGUGAAGUGGUCUGCUCAUUAUUUUCUUUUAGUAGUAAUGAAAGUAUGAUAUGUAAGUAUAAAUAUUGACGUGAUACAAUGAAAUUCAAGAGACUCAACUAUAACAUACAAAUUUGAGACAAAAGAAAACCCGCAGCAUCGCGCGGGAGAAUAAUCUAGUUGUGUUACUAUUA